AGUGAACGCUGGCGGUAGGCCUAACACAUGCAAGUCGAACGGCAGCACAGUAAGAGCUUGCUCUUACGGGUGGCGAGUGGCGGACGGGUGAGGAAUACAUCGGAAUCUACUUUUUCGUGGGGGAUAACGUAGGGAAACUUACGCUAAUACCGCAUACGACCUACGGGCGAAAGCAGGGGAUCUUCGGACCUUGCGCGAUUGAAUGAGCCGAUGUCGGAUUAGCUAGUUGGCGGGGUAAAGGCCCACCAAGGCGACGAUCCGUAGCUGGUCUGAGAGGAUGGUCGGCCGCACUGGAACUUAGACACGGUCCAGACUCCUACGGGAGGCAGCAGUGGGGAAUAGUGGACAAUGGGCGCAAGCCUGAUCCAGCCGUACCGCGUGGGUGAAGAAGGCGUUCGGGUUGUAAAGCCCUUUUGUGGGGAAAGAAAAGCAGCAGGUUAAUACCCCGCGGUUCUGACGGUACCCAAAGAAUAAGCACCGGCUAACUUCGUG
Molecule: ribosomal RNA, 492 nt
Filed under: uncultured bacterium
Lineage: Bacteria
Description: partial 16S ribosomal RNA
Rfam family: Bacterial small subunit ribosomal RNA
Source: RNAcentral